This 322-nucleotide ribosomal RNA is filed under the name uncultured eukaryote. RNAcentral describes it as "partial 18S ribosomal RNA". It matches the Rfam family "Eukaryotic small subunit ribosomal RNA", at positions 1470 to 1796 of the family's 1831-position model. The record is from RNAcentral.
CCCUUAGAUGUCCUGGGCCGCACGCGCGCGACACUGACAUGUUCAACAAGUUUCUCCUAGUUCGACAGGACUGGGAAAUCUUUGAACGCAUGUCGUGAUAGGGAUAGAUCAUUGCAAUUAUUGAUCUUGAACGAGGAAUUCCUAGUAAACGCGAGUCAUCAGCCCGCAUUGAUUACGUCCCUGCCCUUUGUACACACCGCCCGUCGCACCUACCGAUUGAAUGUUUCGGUGAAGAUUCCGGAUAGGACUGAUUUGAUUUAUUUCAUUUCUGACCUAAAAGCUAUCUAAACCUCAACAUUUAGAGGAAGGUGAAGUCGUAACA